RNAcentral lists this ribosomal RNA (449 nucleotides) under uncultured bacterium. RNAcentral describes it as "bacterial SSU rRNA". It matches the Rfam family "Bacterial small subunit ribosomal RNA", at positions 329 to 793 of the family's 1533-position model. The record is from RNAcentral.
UUCCAGACUCCUACGGGAGGCAGCAGUAGGGAAUCUUUCACAAUGGGCGAAAGCCUGAUGGAGCAACGCCGCGUGCAGGAUGAAGGCCUUCGGGUUGUAAACUUCUUUUGACAGGGAAGAGCAGAAGACGGUACCUGUCGAAUAAGCCACGGCUAACUACGUGCCAGCAGCCGCGGUAAUACGUAGGUGGCAAGCGUUGUCCGGAUUUACUGGGUGUAAAGGGCGUGUAGCCGGGCUUACAAGUCAGAUGUGAAAUCCGGGGGCUCAACCCCCGAACUGCAUUUGAAACUGUAGGUCUUGAGUAUCGGAGAGGCAGGCGGAAUUCCUAGUGUAGCGGUGAAAUGCGUAGAUAUUAGGAGGAACACCAGUGGCGAAGGCGGCCUGCUGGACGACAACUGACGGUGAGGCGCGAAAGCGUGGGGAGCAAACAGGAUUAGAUACCCUAGUAU